GUGGGGAAUCUUGCGCAAUGGGCGAAAGCCUGACGCAGCCAUGCCGCGUGAAUGAUGAAGGUCUUAGGAUUGUAAAAUUCUUUCACCGGGGACGAUAAUGACGGUACCCGGAGAAGAAGCCCCGGCUAACUUCGUGCCAGCAGCCGCGGUAAUACGAAGGGGGCUAGCGUUGCUCGGAAUUACUGGGCGUAAAGGGCGCGUAGGCGGACAGUUUAGUCAGAGGUGAAAGCCCAGGGCUCAACCUUGGAAUGGCCUUUGAUACUGGCUGGCUGGAGUACGGGAGAGGUGAGUGGAACUCCGAGUGUAGAGGUGAAAUUCGUAGAUAUUCGGAAGAACACCAGUGGCGAAGGCGACUCACUGGCCCGUUACUGACGCUGAGGCGCGAAAGCGUGGGGAGCAAACAGGAUUAGAUACCCCUGUAGUCC
This 425-nucleotide ribosomal RNA is filed under the name uncultured bacterium. Its description in RNAcentral is "partial 16S ribosomal RNA". It matches the Rfam family "Bacterial small subunit ribosomal RNA", at positions 354 to 796 of the family's 1533-position model. The record is from RNAcentral.